AUGCAGCUGCAUGUCAUUUCCACCUCCUGGCUAAGUAACUGCUACUGCUGCCGCUGUAACCAAGCAUGCAUAGCCAUGCAUGCAUCGAAGACAGGUUUGACUCAACAAUCUCCCCCUCAAACCUGUAGGAGGGUCUUGAUGAUCCCGGUCCUGUCGUGCGGCUCUUGGAACUCGACGCAACCAAGUGCCUUCGUUGGGAUAUCCGUCUUCUCGGCGGCCCGUAUGCCCUGUUCGUGCUUCUUGAUCUCGGGUGCUGCGAUCGUCUCGCGGGCUCGAGAAGGUCCCUCUAGGCUUCGGAACCUGUGUGGAUCGCCACCAUUUUUGUUGGCAUCGAACAAGUCCUACCGCGCUGUUGAUGGGGACAUGAACUGCCCGGGAACCACCUCGCUCGUGGGCGUCAGUGUUUCUGGGGUCGUAGUUCCUGAUGUCACACUGCCCGGGAACUCCCUUCCCGGGGUCGUCGUGUCGGACGUCACGCUACCCGGGAACUCCCUUCCCGGGGAUGACUUGUCGGACAUCGGACUACCCAGGAAUUCCCUUCCUGGGGUCGUCGUGCCGGACGCCGCACUGCCCGGGAACUCCCUUCCCAGGGUCGUUGUGCCGGACGCCACACUGACCAGAGUGGUUCCUCUCAGGGUAGCGGAGUCCUUGCUGCUCUUCCCAUCGGACUUGCUUGUCGGGUCUCCCCCGACAAACGUAAGUCGUGCCUCCCGCACGGACUCGAUGGACCCCGAGCGCGUCAGGGUUGCUGCGUGGCUGACCAUAGAGCACCGCGCCUCCUGCACAGCCUCGAUGGUCGCCAGAGUCACGGUCGAGGCCUUGCCGCCCCAUGACCGUCUCUUCAUGGCCUCCCAGCUGUUGAGGCCCGUCAAAGAGUGCCGUGUUGCCCACACGGGCUUGCAGAACCCCGAGAACCUGGUUGUCGGGGUAUGGCCAACCUGA
Molecule: ribosomal RNA, 942 nt
Filed under: Triticum aestivum (bread wheat)
Lineage: Eukaryota; Viridiplantae; Streptophyta; Magnoliopsida; Poales; Poaceae
Description: partial small subunit ribosomal RNA
Source: RNAcentral